This 440-nucleotide ribosomal RNA is filed under the name uncultured Sphingomonas sp. Its description in RNAcentral is "bacterial SSU rRNA". It matches the Rfam family "Bacterial small subunit ribosomal RNA", at positions 44 to 526 of the family's 1533-position model. Lineage: Bacteria; Pseudomonadati; Pseudomonadota; Alphaproteobacteria; Sphingomonadales; Sphingomonadaceae. The record is from RNAcentral.
AUGCCUAACACAUGCAAGUCGAACGAAUUACCUUCGGGUAGUUAGUGGCGCACGGGUGCGUAACGCGUGGGAAUCUGCCCCUUGGUUCGGAAUAACAGUUGGAAACGACUGCUAAUACCGGAUGAUGACGUAAGUCCAAAGAUUUAUCGCCGAGGGAUGAGCCCGCGUAGGAUUAGGUAGUUGGUGUGGUAAAGGCGCACCAAGCCGACGAUCCUUAGCUGGUCUGAGAGGAUGAUCAACCACACUGGGACUGAGACACGGCCCAGACUCCUACGGGAGGCAGCAGUGGGGAAUAUUGGACAAUGGGCGAAAGCCUGAUCCAGCAAUGCCGCGUGAGUGAUGAAGGCCUUAGGGUUGUAAGGCUCUUUUACCCGGGAUGAUAAUGACAGUACCGGGAGAAUAAGCUCCGGCUAACUCCGUGCCAGCCGCCGCGGUAAUAC